CCAUACGACCGUACCGCAAACCGACACUGGUGCGCGAGAUGAGUAUUCUAAGGCGCUUGAGAGAACUCAGGAGAAGGAACUCGGCAAAUUGACACCGUAACUUCGGAAGAAGGUGUGCCCUAUUAGUGUGUAGUGAACAACGAAGCAUGAAUGGGUUGCAAAAAAUCGGUGGCUGCGACUGUUUAUUAAAAACACAGCACUCUGCAAACACGAAAGUGGACGUAUAGGGUGUGACGCCUGCCCGGUGCUGGAAGAUUAAAUGAUGGGGUGCAAGCUCUUGAUUGAAGUCCCAGUAAACGGCGGCCGUAACUAUAACGGUCCUAAGGUAGCGAAAUUCCUUGUCGGGUAAGUUCCGACCUGCACGAAUGGCGUAACGAUGGCCACACUGUCUCCUCCUGAGACUCAGCGAAGUUGAAAUGUUUGUGAUGAUGCAAUCUCCCCGCGGAAAGACGGAAAGACCCCAUGAACCUUUACUGUAGCUUUGUAUUGGACUUUGAACAGAUCUGUGUAGGAUAGGUGGGAGGCUUUGAAGCAGGGUCGCUAGAUCUUGUGGAGCCAACGUUGAAAUACCACCCUGGUGUGUUUGAGGUUCUAACCUAGGUCCAUUAUCUGGAUCGGGGACAGUGCAUGGUAGGCAGUUUGACUGGGGCGGUCUCCUCCCAAAGCGUAACGGAGGAGUUCGAAGGUACGCUAGUUACGGUCGGACAUCGUGACGAUAGUGCAAUGGCAUAAGCGUGCUUAACUGCGAGACUGACAAGUCGAGCAGAUGCGAAAGCAGGACAUAGUGAUCCGGUGGUUCUGUAUGGAAGGGCCAUCGCUCAACGGAUAAAAGGUACUCUGGGGAUAACAGGCUGAUACCGCCCAAGAGUUCAUAUCGACGGCGGUGUUUGGCACCUCGAUGUCGGCUCAUCUCAUCCUGGGGCUGUAGCCGGUCCCAAGGGUAUGGCUGUUCGCCAUUUAAAGAGGUACGUGAGCUGGGUUUAAAACGUCGUGAGACAGUUUGGUCCCUAUCUUCCGUGGGCGCUGCAGAUUUGAGGAAGCCUGCUCCUAGUACGAGAGGACCGGAGUGGACACACCUCUGGUGUAUCGGUUGUCACGCCAGUGGCAUUGCCGAGUAGCUAAGUGUGGAAGAGAUAACCGCUGAAAGCAUCUAAGCGGGAAACUCGUUUCAAGAUGAGAUCUGCCGGGGCCUUGAGCCCCCUAAAGAGUCGUUCAAGACCAGGACGUUGAUAGGUCAGGUGUGGAAGCUAAA
Molecule: ribosomal RNA, 1252 nt
Filed under: metagenome
Description: bacterial LSU rRNA
Rfam family: Bacterial large subunit ribosomal RNA
Source: RNAcentral